AGAGUUUGAUUCUGGCUCAGGAUAAACGCUGGCGGCAUGCCUAACACAUGCAAGUCGAACGGGGUUUAUAUGAUGGAACUCUUCGGAGGGAAGACAUAUAAACCUAGUGGCGGACGGGUGAGUAACGCGUGGGGAACCUGCCCUGUACCGGGGGACAACAGCCAGAAAUGGCUGCUAAUACCGCAUAAUCCUGCGCUGCCGCAUGGCAGCGCAGGGAAAACUCCGGUGGUACAGGAUGGUCCCGCGUCUGAUUAGCUUGUUGGCGGGGUAACGGCCCACCAAGGCGACAAUCAGUAGCCGGCUUGAGAGAGCGGACGGCCACAUUGGGACUGAGACACGGCCCAGACUCCUGCGGGAGGCAGCAGUGGGGAAUAUUGCACAAUGGGGGGAACCCUGAUGCAGCAAUGCCGCGUGGGUGAAGAAGUACUUCGGUAUGUAAAGCCCUGUCAGCAGGGAAGAAAAUGACGGUACCUGACUAAGAAGCCCCGGCUAACUACGUGCCAGCAGCCGCGGUAAUACGUAGGGGGCGAGCGUUAUCCGGAUUUACUGGGUGUAAAGGGAGCGCAAGCGGCGUGGCAAGUCAAAUGUGAAAACCCGGGGCCCAACCCCGGGACUGCAUUUGAAACUGC
RNAcentral lists this ribosomal RNA (629 nucleotides) under uncultured bacterium. RNAcentral's name for it is "bacterial SSU rRNA". It matches the Rfam family "Bacterial small subunit ribosomal RNA", at positions 8 to 636 of the family's 1533-position model. The record is from RNAcentral.